AAAGAGAAUAUAACUUCAGUUCGUAUAUGCAUGGAAAUAUGGUCCAAGUGUCUCUACCGGGAGCCUUUAAACUACCCGACUACGAACGUUAUUUUGGUGUUU
RNAcentral lists this non-coding RNA (102 nucleotides) under Clostridium intestinale. Its description in RNAcentral is "Guanine sequence". It matches the Rfam family "Purine riboswitch aptamer". Rfam says of the family: Riboswitches are metabolite binding domains within certain messenger RNAs that serve as precision sensors for their corresponding targets. Allosteric rearrangement of mRNA structure is mediated by ligand binding, and this results in modulation of gene expression. Lineage: Bacteria; Bacillati; Bacillota; Clostridia; Eubacteriales; Clostridiaceae. RNAcentral also lists the same sequence under 1 other name. The record is from RNAcentral.